UCAAAAUGCACCAUUAAGGGAGUGAAAAACACCACUAAAUGAAGUGAUGAAAAUUCUUGCUGAAGGAAUUUUUUCCCACACAAAUACAACUGGAUACCAUUUUCUUCUGCCUCUUUGGGACCCCUGCCAUAACUACUGUCUCUCUCAUUCUGUAGCUUAAAUCUCUUCUGUGCUGGAUUCUUCCUGAAACACUCCCUCUCUUUCUUCUUCACAGUCCAGCUUAUUGAAAGAUUAAUAUACAUUUACUUUUGCCAUUUAGUCGCUUUUCAACUCAUUUCUUAGUUGAGCAUUUACUUCUCAUUUUCACUGCACUCUGGUUUCUUAGUUGACACAGUUCUUUCUAAGGUGACCACUGGUCUCCAUAAGAUGAAAUUCAGUGAACGCUUUUCAGUCUUUAUCUGACUUGUCACUCUCCAGAAGCACUCCAUAACGUUGACUAUGCUUUUCUUAAAAUCGGUUCCUCCCUUUGCUUCUGCAGCUGUGCUCACUCCCUAUUCCUCACUCCUUCUGAAUAUUCUCUGCAGGUUUUUCCAUUCUUUCUGCCUCUUCAUACCACCCACCAAAUUUAACUACUUUAAAAUUUAUAUAGGUAUAUGUGUGUGUAUGUACAUGUAUAUGUAGAAUAUAUGCUUACUUUUUAAAAUUC
RNAcentral lists this long non-coding RNA (646 nucleotides) under Homo sapiens (human). RNAcentral describes it as "HSALNT0220692". Lineage: Eukaryota; Metazoa; Chordata; Mammalia; Primates; Hominidae. The record is from RNAcentral.